UAAAAGAUUUAAAUAAUUUUUUAAGUUUUUGUUUCAACAAAAUUAACAAAAAUUAUUUAGGGGUUAAAUGCUAAUCGAUUUUAUUAAUAUCUAGUAACUUUGCAAAUAAAUUUAGUUUAGAAUAUAAAGGGUAUCUAAACUUAAAUAUAUUUUUAUACUUUAGGGGAUGAGCUCUAAGGUAAAUUUAUAAGAAUUAAGAUGGAUAAAAUUUUUAUUAAGCUUAGAAUUAGCUAUAGGAUAGUGUUAUAAAACAAAAGUUUAAGAUUAUAAUUUAAUUUUCUUUUAAAAGAACAAAGUUAUAUAAAAAAUAAAAAAUUUUUAGAAGUAAUGAUAGUAUUAGUAGAAAAUAAUUUAAAAUAUUCUUUAAAUAGUUUGUAAAAAAUUUCAGUAAAAGAAUUCGGCAAAUUUGAUUUCCGAAUGUUUAACAAAAACAUUUCUUCUUAGAAUAAGAAGUAAGGCCUGCUCACUGAAUUUUAAAGAGCCGCAGUAUUUUGACUGUGCUAAGGUAGCAUAAUCAUUAGUCUUUUAAUUGAGGACUGGUAUGAAUGGCUAAACGAGAAAUCAACUUUUUUUAUUGUAAUAAUCGAAUUUAACUUUUUAGUGAAAAGGCUAAAUUGUGUUAGAAAGACGAGAAGACCCUAUAGAGUUUUAUAUAUAAAGGAUUUAUAUUUUAGUAGAUUUGGAUAAAUAUAAAUUUAUCAUAUAUUUUGUUGGGGCGACAUUAAGAUAAAAAAAACUCUUUAUUUUUUAAACUUUUAUAAAAGAAUAAAUUUGAUCCUUUACAAAAGAUUAUAAGAAAAAAUUACCUUAGGGAUAACAGCGUAAUCUUUUUUGAGAGUUCUAAUCGACAAAAAGGUUUGCGACCU
RNAcentral lists this ribosomal RNA (866 nucleotides) under Eurylasma pyramidale. Its description in RNAcentral is "partial 16S ribosomal RNA". The stretch from base 373 to 614 matches the Rfam family "Archaeal large subunit ribosomal RNA", at positions 1786 to 2143 of the family's 2987-position model. Lineage: Eukaryota; Metazoa; Arthropoda; Thecostraca; Balanomorpha; Pachylasmatidae. The record is from RNAcentral.